AUACGUAGGGUGCAAGCGUUGUCCGGAUUUAUUGGGUUUAAAGGGUGCGCAGGCGGCUCAUUUAAGUCAGUGUUAAAAUACAGCAGCUCAACUGUUGAACUGGCAUUGAUACUGAUGAGCUUGAGUACAGUGUAGGCAGGCGGAAUUUAUGGUGUAGCGGUGAAAUGCUUAGAUACCAUAAAGAACACCGAUAGCGAAGGCAGCUUGCCGCAGUAGAAACUGACGCUCAGGCAACGAAAGCGGUGGGGAUAC
Molecule: ribosomal RNA, 252 nt
Filed under: uncultured bacterium
Lineage: Bacteria
Description: partial 16S ribosomal RNA
Rfam family: Bacterial small subunit ribosomal RNA
Source: RNAcentral